Molecule: transfer RNA, 68 nt
Filed under: Ictidomys tridecemlineatus (thirteen-lined ground squirrel)
Lineage: Eukaryota; Metazoa; Chordata; Mammalia; Rodentia; Sciuridae
Description: Spermophilus tridecemlineatus (thirteen-lined ground squirrel) tRNA
Rfam family: tRNA
About the family: Transfer RNA (tRNA) molecules are approximately 80 nucleotides in length. Their secondary structure includes four short double-helical elements and three loops (D, anti-codon, and T loops).
Source: Rfam by way of RNAcentral
GGGGUUGUGGCUCAGUGGUAGAGCUCUCGCCUACUACGUGUGCAGCCUGGGUUCAAUUCUCAGCACCA